RNAcentral lists this ribosomal RNA (407 nucleotides) under uncultured bacterium. RNAcentral's name for it is "partial 16S ribosomal RNA". It matches the Rfam family "Bacterial small subunit ribosomal RNA", at positions 28 to 526 of the family's 1533-position model. The record is from RNAcentral.
GACGAACGCUGGCGGCGUGCCUAAUACAUGCAAGUCGGACGCAGUUGCGAACGGGUGAGUAACGCGUAGGUAACUGCCUAUUAGAGGGGAAUAACUACUGGAAACGAUAGCGAAUACCGCAUACUAGUAGAUGGACGUGCGUUGUAUUGGCUAGUAGGUAGGGUAAUGGCCUAUCUAGGCGACGAUACAUGGCCGACCUUGAAGGGUGGACGGCCACAAUGGGAACGGGGACAGGCCCCGACUCCCACGGGGAGGCGGAGUAGGGGAACUGUGGCAAUGGGGGGAACCCUGACCGAACCCAGGCGGGGGAGUGAAGAAGGGUUUUGGGUCGUAAAGGUCCGUUGUGAAGGAAGCGGUACUUAAACAGAAAGGGACGGCUAACUACGUGCCAGCAGCCGCGGUAAUUC